Culex pipiens pallens (northern house mosquito) is the source of this 4778-nucleotide long non-coding RNA. RefSeq lists it as uncharacterized. The transcript has 3 exons. Lineage: Eukaryota; Metazoa; Arthropoda; Insecta; Diptera; Culicidae. The record is from RefSeq and is a predicted model, not a curated record.
GAUUCAUUUCAGUUUAUUUUUGAUUUCAUUAAAUACCCUUCUCCCAAUUACAUUGCACUUAAAUAUUAAUGCAUGAACAAUGUACAGUACACCUUGCCUACCACACGGUUGCAACUCUCGUCUCUUUUUUUUCGCCAAAAGGGUUCAAAACAUUGUUUUUAUUCUGCAAUUUGUCCCGGACUGGAAUGAGAUUUUUUUUCUGCUCUUCUUGUUGUUAAUCCAUCCACAAUCCGCUUUUCCUUUCAUUAGUGGAAAUCUCCGACCCGGAAUUAUAAAUCGAUAUUAUGUUUUUUUGUUGUUGUUAAUAAAUGACAUUUUGAUCAUUGUUUCUCUGCCUUAUUUCGUAAUGUUGUGUGUUGUUCUGUGCGAUUACAGCUGGACCCCAAAAAUGUUAUGUUUUUUUUUCAUUUUUCUCAUUAUUAAUGUACUUGUUUAAUGUUCGGUAGAAUUAGUUGAUAUUUGUUUCUCCGGUUAAAUGUUGCAUGCUUCGUUAUCGUUGAACUUUGUUUUUUUCCUCUACUCAUUUAUCAAACCCAGAACUUAUUCGGAAAACAAGCACUCUCACGCAACAUUUGGCGCCAAUAAAUUGAUUGCUUUUUUCGGUGAUAAAAAACAUGGCUCUCGAUUGUAUCAUUAUUAUGUUUUAAAAUAUAUCCUUUAAUUAUGCUGCUUUUUGCUCGCACGGCGUUCGUUUCAAUCACAAUUACAUGUAAAGUUUUAUUUCUUUUUUUCAAUAAACACCAAAAACAGUUUUGUGUGUAGCUGAAGUAUUCUUCUUUUGAUUGAUUAUAUUCUUGCUGAGAGAGUAGUACAAAGGGGAAAGAUGAGUUACAUUUGGUAAACAGUUUUUUUUUGUUACAUACAUUGCUUGUUUAGUUUAUUUUUUGUUCAAUAGAUACAGAUUACAGAAUGUUACACACAAGAAUAAGUUUUUGAAAAUGAAACAAUAAAAAAACAGUGGAACGUUGUGUUGUGCUAGUCGAAAUCAAAGCAAAAGCUACGUAACUCGCUACUGAACUCGAUCAAGUCAGCUGAUGAUUGCUUUUUCCUUUUCUUUCAUUUUUGAUGCAUUUAUCGGUGCGCAUUCCUUCUAUAUUUUGCAUUUUUUUGUGAUUUUAUUUUAAACGUUUAUUUUGAUUGAAUGAUUGUAAAAAAAUCUACAAACUUUUGUAAUGGAUUUUUUAUUUUUAAUAUGUCAAGGCAGGACUGGACUAGGAAAUGUUUGUAUUAUUUUAUUUUAAACUUUUUCAUUCAUAAUUCCUUUCGUAAUUUUAUUCUCUGCAUUGGGGGGAUUAAUGUUGUUCGUCUCAUAUGUAUUGUUGUUAUAUGUUGGAUUAGCCGUUACAAUUGUAUGGCAUGGAUUGGUCACUUUCUAAAUCGAACGAUAUUUGUUUUUGGGCUAGCUAUAAGAUUUUUCUAUCAAUAUGAACUGAAAAGGGGUGGCAGAGGUUACCUUCGAGGGUACACACAAAAAAAUAUUACGGUAAUGACAAAAGUAACUUACUUUUGAAUUAAAAAGUUGUUAAAAUUUGCUACAUUAAAAGUUUUUUUCUUGUUUUGAAAAUGAAAACUUUUACUGCUACAGUUUUUGAAAAUCUCAAUGCUCACUGGUUUAAAAGUUUUUACUUUUAAUUCGACUGUAAAAUUUCUUUCAUUUUGACGUUCUCGUGUAACCGUGUACGCCUAAGUCGCAAAUGUAAACAAACACUUUGGUGGGUCCGGUGCUGCUGGUGAGUCUAGGACGCAAAGCAAAGCCGACCGCGGCAGCAGCCAGGACUCGGACGCGGAAACCUUAGUGAGCCAAACAGCAGCAGCGGAAUGCCUUUGAAGGAGGGUGGUGCAGGAGCGGGACGAGGUCGAGUGCUCGAAAAGGACAAGGCCAGCUUCCUGCAGGAACUGCAGCUGUUCCACGGCCGGAAUGCGAUGAGAGGUAGGAAUGUGGAUUCGCACCGGUUGUAUUGGGUGGUGGUGGCCCGGGAUUGGUGGUUGAAGGUCAAUUCGCGUGAGGACUGGGGCGAGAGAUGGCGCUGCCGAAGCGUUGCGUGAACAACGAGAUUGCGUUGAAGAAGAUUAACUUCCGGUUUUUGGACAAGUACGCGAAAGUUUAUUUUCACGAUGGGCCUCCGACGAAGAGGAGGAAGACGAAAAGCUACAUAAUCGGAGGUGGUCAGCGCAGAUGUUGCACUCGGUGCCGGCGGUUUACAGCACCGCAACUUCCCGCCCACAAACACUCACGUCGCGACGGCGCAGCUUCAGCCGAAUGAAUCUGGACAGUGAGCCAAAAAAAAUCUGUGUCACUCUCGAAGUAGGAUUACGUGCUCAAAAUCGAACUCCGUUCCGAGGGCCUCAUCAAUCCAAUCUUCCGGAUGCGCUUCCAGGAUCGGGAACUCCCCGUUCAGGCACUUUACUUUCCAGCCGGGAAACGUCGACGACCCUUCCCGAAUCAAUGGCCAACUCCUCCAAGACUGUCCUGAUUGAGGCCGGAAACGUGACCAUCGUGUUACACUGCUGUCGCGCGUCGAAGCCUCCAUCCGGAACCGUCCAGCCUGGGGUAUUCCGAAGUGACCGGUGGCGUACCGUAUGAAGCAGAAGCUAGUGGAGAACGUUAAAUACAAAAAAGUGUUUUUCUAACAUACUGUUUAAUUUUUUUUAAAUAAAUGUAAAAAACCAAGCACAUUUUUCUGAAAUUAUCCCUGUAGUGCUAAAUAUUGUGUAUUCUUGCCAUAAAAGGUUUCUUUUCCAAUUAAAAGUAAAAUAAUUUUACCAAUACAACGAUUUUGUCCCAUAAAUGCAUGGUAGUAUCAAAAACUUUCCAACUUUUAAAUUGAAAAGUUUGAACUUUCAACGAAUAUUCACCAACGCGAACUUUUAAUCCAACGAACGAUCUUUUUAAAUUUAGAGUAAUUUUUCUUUGUGUGUACGUCGAUGGGCUGUGUGAUGUGUGUGCUAUUCAAUCAAAGAUUUACAAAAUAUACAGCAAUUCUACACAAAAACAGCAUGAUUCGAAAGAAGUUCUCCGAUCGGGCUCAAAAAUUUUCUGGGGAUUCCCUGGCCGAAAUAAUUAGACCCGUAUUUUUUUGUUUGGCCAUUAGGGUGACCUACGCCGUGUUAAGGUGGUCAAAAAAAUGGCAAUUUUCGUUGGUUUUCACAAAAACCCUUUUUUUUUUUCAAAAAAUCAUUACUCCACGCCAUUUCAAUUGAUUUGGACGCAAAUGAAAGGGUAUUAGAUAGGCUUUUAAGGAAAAAUAGUUAAAAUAUUUCAAAUAUCUAGGCCGAUAUUUUAAAAGGUCGUAUGAAAACUUAAAAUACUGUUUUGAAGGUCUCGGGACCAAAAAGCCUACGUAUGAAAACAUUUUUUUUAAUUUUCGUAAUUUAAAGACGCAACUUAUGGUACCCAAACAUGUAUAGGUCAUAGCUUUAAUUUCAAAUUUAUAACAGUUUUAGUGAAAAAAGUAAAUUUUUUUCGUCAGUUUUUCGAAAUUUCCCAUUUUUGCGAGUGGUGCGUCGAAAAACCCAGUUUUUAUUUUCAAAAAAUCGUAUCACGGAAUAUUGAAAACAUAACUUCACCAUUUUUUGAUAUGAUAUGUUUUUUUUUUCGAGGAAUCCGACAAAAAUAUUUUCAGACAUAAGCUCGUUGGUCCCGAGACCAUCAAAACAGCAUUUUAAGUUUUCAUUCGACCUUUUCAAAUGUUAGGCUAGAUAUUUUAAACUUCUAACUAUUUUUCCUUAAAAGCCGAUCUAAUACUCUUUCAUUUGCGUCCAAGACAGCUAAAAUCGAUUGAAAUGGCGCGGAGUAAUAUUUUUUUUGAAAAAAGUGGUUUUGCGAAAAUCGACGAAAAUGGCCAUUUUUUGGACCACCCUAACUUGGCGUUAGUCAACCUAAUGACCAAACAAAAAAAUCUGGGUCUAAUUAUGUUGGCCAAGGACCACCCAGAAAAAUUUCGAGCCCGAUCCGAGAACUUUUUUUUCGAAUCAUACUGUUUUCGUGGGGAAUUGCUAUAUAAUGAAAUUGCGUAUCUAUAUAUCAACUUAUCACUUGAAAUUAAAUGACAAUUUUCUUUUGUAAACAAAUAUUUCAUGUUAAAUGUUUAUUCGCUGGUAAAAAGUCCACAAUCUGACUUUUUUGUAUUUUCAAAUAUUUUAUGUUUUCAUAAUGAACUCCGUGGAAUUUAAUUUAUUUUAUUCCCUUGGUUUUGCACAAUAAAAUGGUUCUUAUGCAAAAAAGUCCUGGGAAGUGAUUGCAGAGGGUUUCAUCCAAGGUGGACCACGGGGAACUGAGAUAUGGCGGAGUUUUUACCGGAAUUUUUAUGAAGGUCCACCAAGAUAAGACAGUACAGAGCUGGCGACAGGAACCAUGUUCCGGAACCCCUGUAGGAGAUUGACCAGGUCGGUUCAAUAAUUUAGGCAUGUUGCAAUUCAAACGUAAUAAUUCCAACACAGUAGGCUACCACUAUUGUCCAAUUAUAAAAACAAUUCAUAAAUGGACCUAAGAAUUCUGAAAACUUUUCUUUGAAAAUAACAAAAAAUAAAAACUUGUUAUCACCUUGAAUGCGCUUCAAUCUCCCAGGAUAAUUAUGAGUAUGAAACACAGAAAUCGGUCGAAAAAUCUCAAUCGCGUUUUUCUCAAUUUUGUACCUUUUUGAACUUGAUACAAUCUGCGUAGAACGGCAGAGUAGUUGUUAGAAAUUUUUUUUCUCAAUUUAAGUUCAUCUUUAGAUUGUACCUCAGCAAUUGAUUGUAAUUUUCUCAGCAAUCCAAAUCUGAAUACUUGCAGAAUG